Transfer RNA from Firmicutes bacterium CAG:631, 75 nucleotides. It matches the Rfam family "tRNA". Rfam says of the family: Transfer RNA (tRNA) molecules are approximately 80 nucleotides in length. The record is from Rfam. NCBI's taxonomy places the organism in Bacteria, Bacillati, Bacillota.
GGCGGCGUGGCUCAGCUGGUUUAGAGCGACUGGCUCAUACCCGGUAGGUCGGGGGUUCAAGUCCCUCCGCCGCUA